Molecule: long non-coding RNA, 990 nt
Organism: Ctenopharyngodon idella (grass carp)
Lineage: Eukaryota; Metazoa; Chordata; Actinopteri; Cypriniformes; Xenocyprididae
Exons: 3
Source: RefSeq, a predicted model, not a curated record
GUGUGUGAGUGUGUGUGUGUGUGAGUGUGUGUGUGUUUGUGAGAUCAUGAGCAGAUUUAUUCCAUAGUUCUGGAGGGGACGUCAGCAAAGUUCAGAUGUCACGCUGGACAUCCCUCAAACAGACGGCACAUUUUACGCUCUCAUCUGCUGAAACUGGUGCGUUUUCCGUCCUGGAGCGUCUGAGGUCAGAUGACGCUGUUCCAGGAUCAGUUCUAACAGGAUUCAGUUUCCCUGAAGCACAGCUGACGACCCAGAAGCCUCUCUGUUUCUCUCAGUUUCUCUUUCUCUUCUCUCCACAGGCGAUGAGCCGCAGUCAGGGGAAGCGAGAGCAGAGACGAGACACACUUCCACCGGCCGUAUGGAACAUGAUGCCGCUCUUUGUUUAGACGGCACUGUAAUUUAUUUCGCCGAUGAGUUAUUCACUCCAUCUGGUUGGUGCGGCACAAACAAAUGUUUCUCCGACUGAUACAGGAAUCAACACCAGCGAGAUCCGCAUGUCACUGACAGCCCAUCACGUCACGGGCAACUAGUUAACCAAUCAGUCAGUUGGAGGUUUAUUCUGGGAUGAUGAAAAUGAGCUUUACAGUCUACAGAGCUCUUCAGUCCAUUUGAAGGCCCAUUUGAAGACUAAUUCGGAUUCCAGUGGAUCUAUGCAAGAUGAGGUCUGUGGUUAACAAUACCUGAAGAGACGUCUGCUUUCUUCUACAGCAGGGAUCCACAAACUACUUUGACAUAAAAUGUUUAUCCCCAAGAUUUAAAGUUAAUAUUCUAAUAAUUUAACAAGCAACACAUUUGCAUGUUUAAUGAUCAUGUGACAUGCAGGUAAACAAAUACUAUAUUUCAUCUUUUUUUAGUAAGUGCUUUAUUUUGAUUGUUUUUAUUUUUAAAUGACUUUUUAAUUUUAAUUUUAGUUUUUUAGGAUUCAUAUUUUUUAGCAAGUAUUUAAAUUUUUUAAUAAUUUAUUUUAAUUUGACAUCUUUAUGAUUAAAU